RNAcentral lists this unclassified non-coding RNA (270 nucleotides) under fungal sp. RNAcentral's name for it is "partial internal transcribed spacer region". The stretch from base 1 to 46 matches the Rfam family "Eukaryotic small subunit ribosomal RNA", at positions 1786 to 1831 of the family's 1831-position model. Lineage: Eukaryota; Fungi. The record is from RNAcentral.
AAGUCGUAACAAGGUUUCCGUAGGUGAACCUGCGGAAGGAUCAUUAACAGAUUCUGCUAGCCAGAUAUCUUACCCCGUGUCAACUGUUCUUUAGACUUGGUCCCCAAGACUCGAGGCUCUCCGAGAGGGGCUGCUGGAGGCCUUAAAAUAGCCGACGCGUCUCUCAAGGGUGUCUCGACUCUAAGCACCAUCAUUUUUACCCUUUAACUUUGAAUGCCGAGAAACUUACAAAAGACUAGAAAACUUUUAGCAACGGAUCUCUAGGCUCUU